AUUCCGGCAUUGGGAGGCAUUGCCUGCCAGUGACAACUGUUUAACGGCCGCGGUAUCCUGACCGUGCAAAGGUAGCAUAAUCAUUUGUUCUCUAAAUAAGGACUUGUAUGAAUGGCCGCACGAGGGUUUUACUGUCUCUUACUUCCAAUCAGUGAAAUUGACCUUCCCGUGAAGAGGCGGGAAUGCACAAAUAAGACGAGAAGACCCUAUGGAGCUUUAACUAACCAACCCAAAGAGAAUAGAUUUAACCAUUAAGGAAUAACAACAAUCUCCAUGAGUUGGUAGUUUCGGUUGGGGUGACCUCGGAGAAUAAAAAAUCCUCCGAGCGAUUUUAAAGACUAGACCCACAAGUCAAAUCACUCUAUCGCUCAUUGAUCCAAAAACUUGAUCAACGGAACAAGUUACCCUAGGGAUAACAGCGCAAUCCUAUUCAAGAGUCCAUAUCGACAAUAGGGUUUACGACCUCGAUGUUGGAUCAGGACAUCCUGAUGGUGCAACCGCUAUCAAAGGUUCGUUUGUUCAACGAUUAAAGUCCUACGUGAUCUGAGUUCAGACCGGA
This 559-nucleotide ribosomal RNA is filed under the name Phascolosoma esculenta. Its description in RNAcentral is "partial 16S ribosomal RNA". It matches the Rfam family "Bacterial large subunit ribosomal RNA", at positions 1837 to 2620 of the family's 2925-position model. Lineage: Eukaryota; Metazoa; Annelida; Sipuncula; Phascolosomatiformes; Phascolosomatidae. The record is from RNAcentral.